CCUACGGGGGGCUGCAGUGGGGAAUUUUGGACAAUGGGGGCAACCCUGAUCCAGCCAUGCCGCGUGAGUGAAGAAGGCCUUCGGGUUGUAAAGCUCUUUCGGCCGGGAGGAAAUCGCAUAGGUUAAUACCCUGUGUGGAUGACAGUACCGGAAUAAGAAGCACCGGCUAACUACGUGCCAGCAGCCGCGGUAAUACGUAGGGUGCGAGCGUUAAUCGGAAUGACUGGGCGCAGUGCUUUCGGAGAGGGGUGAAAUCCCCGGGCUCAACCUGGGAACUGCGCUUGUGACUGGAAGGCUAGAGUAUGGCAGAGGGGGGUGGAAUUCCACGUGUAGCAGUGAAAUGCGUAGAGAUGUGGAGGAACACCGAUGGCGAAGGCAGCCCCCUGGGCCAAUACUGACGCUCAUGCACGAAAGCGUGGGGAGCAAACAGGAUUAGAUACCCCUGUAGUC
RNAcentral lists this ribosomal RNA (450 nucleotides) under uncultured bacterium. Its description in RNAcentral is "partial 16S ribosomal RNA". It matches the Rfam family "Bacterial small subunit ribosomal RNA", at positions 338 to 795 of the family's 1533-position model. The record is from RNAcentral.